UUGAUCCUGGCUCAGGAUGAACGCUAGCGGCAGGCUUAACACAUGCAAGUCGAGGGGCAGCGGGGAGGAAGCUUGCUUUCUCCGCCGGCGACCGGCGCACGGGUGAGUAACACGUAUGCAACCUGCCCCUGUCAGGGGGACAACCCGCCGAAAGGCGGGCUAAACCCGCGUACAUGCCACCGGGGCAUCCCGGAGGCAGGAAAGGCUUCGGCCGGACAGGGAUGGGCAUGCGGCGCAUUAGGCAGUAGGCGGGGUAACGGCCCACCUAACCGACGAUGCGUAGGGGUUCUGAGAGGAAGGUCCCCCACACUGGUACUGAGACACGGACCAGACUCCUACGGGAGGCAGCAGUGAGGAAUAUUGGUCAAUGGUCGGGAGACUGAACCAGCCAAGCCGCGUGAGGGAGGAAGGUACAGAGUAUCGUAAACCUCUUUUGUCAGGGAACAAAGACUGGGACGCGUCCCCGGAUGAGUGUACCUGAAGAAAAAGCAUCGGCUAACUCCGUGCCAGCAGCCGCGGUAAUACGGAGGAUGCGAGCGUUAUCCGGAUUUAUUGGGUUUAAAGGGUGCGCAGGCGGUCUGUUAAGUCAGCGGUCAAAGCCCGGGGCUCAACCCCGGUCCGCCGUUGAAACUGGCAGUCUCGAGUUGGAGAGAAGUAUGCGGAAUGCGCGGUGUAGCGGUGAAAUGCAUAGAUAUCGCGCAGAACUCCGAUUGCGAAGGCAGCAUGCCGGCUCCACACUGACGCUGAGGCACGAAAGCGUGGGUAUCGAACAGGAUUAGAUACCCUGGUAGUCCACGCAGUAAACGAUGAAUGCUGGCUGUCCGGGGGGACUGACCCCUGGGUGGCGAAGCGAAAGCGAUAAGCAUUCCACCUGGGGAGUACGCCGGCAACGGUGAAACUCAAAGGAAUUGACGGGGGCCCGCACAAGCGGAGGAACAUGUGGUUUAAUUCGAUGAUACGCGAGGAACCUUACCCGGGCUCAAACGGGGAGUGGCGCAGGCAGAGACGCCUGUUUCCCACGGGACACUCCCCGAGGUGCUGCAUGGUUGUCGUCAGCUCGUGCCGUGAGGUGUCGGCUUAAGUGCCAUAACGAGCGCAACCCCCGCGUGCAGUUGCUAACAGUCAACGCUGAGGACUCUGCACGGACUGCCGGCGCAAGCCGCGAGGAAGGCGGGGAUGACGUCAAAUCAGCACGGCCCUUACGUCCGGGGCGACACACGUGUUACAAUGGGUGGUACAGCGGGAAGCCAGGCGGCGACGCCGAGCGGAACCCGAAAUCCACUCUCAGUUCGGAUCGGAGUCUGCAACCCGACUCCGUGAAGCUGGAUUCGCUAGUAAUCGCGCAUCAGCCAUGGCGCGGUGAAUACGUUCCCGGGCCUUGCACACACCGCCCGUCA
Molecule: ribosomal RNA, 1397 nt
Filed under: uncultured bacterium
Lineage: Bacteria
Description: 16S ribosomal RNA
Rfam family: Bacterial small subunit ribosomal RNA
Source: RNAcentral